This 20-nucleotide non-coding RNA is filed under the name Arabidopsis thaliana (thale cress). Lineage: Eukaryota; Viridiplantae; Streptophyta; Magnoliopsida; Brassicales; Brassicaceae. The record is from RNAcentral.
UUAAGCGCGCGACCUAUACC